AUGGCCGAAUCCGCUGUUACCGCUGUGGUUGGGAACAUGAGCAGGCUCGUGAUUCAGGAGACCACAUUCUUGUGUGGAGUCACAGUCGAAGUCACCUUCUUGAAAGAUGAACUAAUGAGGUUGCAGGGCUACCUCAAAGACGCUGAUGUCAAGCGGAGAUCAGGAAAUGCGGCAGUCGCUAUCUUGGUGGUCCAGAUCAGGGAUGCGGCGUAUGUGGCCGAAAAUGUCAUCAAGGCCGUCGAGCACAUGCAGAAAAGUAACAGGCUCAAGAAGGGAUUCGUGGGCGCCGUUUCAAGGUAUGCUCACUUGCCGGCCGAUUUGGUUAACCUUCACCAAGUCGGUGUUCAAGUUAAGCAUGUAAGAAGAAAGAUCAGUGAGAUAUUUGAAAGCGCGCACUGUUUGAAAAUUGAUUUGGAUACUAGUGCAGAUGAGGAUGAGUUCCCACAAGAUUACUGUCUUAUGCACCAAAACUUUGAAGAUGACAUUGUGAUGGUUGGUUUUCAGGAUGAGUAUAAAGAAAUAGUGGAUAAAUUAGUUCAUGGAGAAAACAUGCUUAGCGUUGUUUCCAUAGUCGCCAUGGGUGGGGCGGGAAAAACUACACUUGCAAGAAAAGUAUGCACUUCAUCUAGAGUGAAGCAACAUUUUGAUACCAUUGCUUGGGUGAGUGUAUCUCAAAAGUUCAAGGGCAUUGAUUUACUAAACGAUAUUAUGAAGCAAAUAAUGGGGGCCAACGAUGAGCAAGUUGAUCAAAUGCAGGAGUAUGAUGUGGGGAAGAAGAUAAGUGAUUUUCUGUUGCAAAAGAGAUACCUAGUAGUUCCGGAUGAUGUGUGGGAAACAGACACAUGGGAGCAAAUAAACAGGACAAUUAAAGCCUUUCCAGACGCAUCUAAUGGUAGUAGAGUACUGCUAACCACACGAAAGGAAGAUGUUGCAAAUCAUGUUCAGAUGCCAACCCAUGUUCAUGUUUUGAAGCACUUAGAUGAAGAGAAAAGUUGGGAACUUUUUAGUAGCAAAGCUUUACCAUCAUACAAAAGAUCUGUCAUGUGUGAUGUGGAUGAGUUUGAAGAGGUAGGGAGAAAGCUUGCUCAUAAAUGUGAUGGAUUGCCACUUGCAUUGAUAGUGUUGGGGGGUUAUCUAUCAAAGAAUCUGAACACACAAGCAUGGUCUGAUGUGCUAUUUGGCUGGCCGUUAACCAAAAGCACACAAAUGAUGCGAGAUAUACUAGCUCGUAGUUACAAGGAUCUGCCCUGUCACUAUUUAAGAACUUGCUUCCUCUAUCUUGCUGCUUUUCCUGAGGAUUAUGAAAUACAUGUGCCGAACCUUAUUGAAUUAUGGAUGGCCGAAAGCUUCAUUCCGCAUACACCAAGUCAUAAACCAGAAGAAAUAGCACACAAGUAUGUUACUGAGUUGGCUCAGAGAAACUUGAUUCAAGUUGUCCAUAGAAGCAGGGCACAUAAAUGGAUUCAAACAAUAAAGAUUCAUGAUAUUUUACGGGACUGGUGCAUAGAAGAAGCAAGACAAGAUGGUUUUCUUGAUAUUAUCGACAAAAAUGCAGGUCAGGCUAGUGCAGCAUCGUAUGAUACCAUGAUUUGUCAUCGUUCUUCUUUCCAAAACCUGAGUGGACAAAUUUUACAUGGAACAACUCCUAUUCUCCGAACUCUCUUUGGCUUCGGACUCUCAUCAGUAUCUCUACCUAAAAUGACUUCCUUAAGGGUUCUUCACAUCCAAAACUCAAUCCUAAAGGAUUUUUCUAGGACAAUUGGAGGGUCCAUUCACCUAAGGUGCCUUAGAUUGACUGGAUGCAGACAUGUAGUUCUCCCUUCUUCAAUUGGAGAACUCCUUUAUUUGCAGACUAUAGAUCUCAAAGGCACUGAAUUGGACUCGCUAGUACCAAACUCCCUCUGGGAUAUUCCUACUCUAAGGCAUGUUUACCUGAAUAAGGAGUUUUCUCCACCAAAGAGGUUGCAACAAAAAGAGCUUCAGACCUUCUGGUUAGUUGUUAGAUCCUUUGGCACUGAAUUGUCAGCCUAA
RNAcentral lists this ribosomal RNA (2031 nucleotides) under Triticum aestivum (bread wheat). RNAcentral describes it as "partial small subunit ribosomal RNA". The record is from RNAcentral. Lineage: Eukaryota; Viridiplantae; Streptophyta; Magnoliopsida; Poales; Poaceae.